GCUUGCUUCUCUGAUAGCGUUAGCGGCGGACGGGUGAGUAACACGUAGGCAACCUGCCCUCAAGUUUGGGACAACUACCGGAAACGGUAGCUAAUACCGAAUAAUUGUUUUCUUCGCCUGAAGGAAACUGGAAAGACGGAGCAAUCUGUCACUUGGGGAUGGGCCUGCGGCGCAUUAGCUAGUUGGUGGGGUAACGGCUCACCAAGGCGACGAUGCGUAGCCGACCUGAGAGGGUGAUCGGCCACACUGGGACUGAGACACGGCCCAGACUCCUACGGGAGGCAGCAGUAGGGAAUCUUCCGCAAUGGGCGAAAGCCUGACGGAGCAAUGCCGCGUGAGUGAUGAAGGUUUUCGGAUCGUAAAGCUCUGUUGCCAGGGAAGAA
This 383-nucleotide ribosomal RNA is filed under the name Paenibacillus amylolyticus. RNAcentral describes it as "bacterial SSU rRNA". It matches the Rfam family "Bacterial small subunit ribosomal RNA", at positions 72 to 449 of the family's 1533-position model. Lineage: Bacteria; Bacillati; Bacillota; Bacilli; Caryophanales; Paenibacillaceae. The record is from RNAcentral.